GCUGGCGGCAUGCCUUACACAUGCAAGUCGAACGGUAACAGGUCUUCGGACGCUGACGAGUGGCGAACGGGUGAGUAAUACAUCGGAACGUGCCCAGUCGUGGGGGAUAACUACUCGAAAGAGUAGCUAAUACCGCAUACGAUCUGAGGAUGAAAGCGGGGGACCUUCGGGCCUCGCGCGAUUGGAGCGGCCGAUGGCAGAUUAGGUAGUUGGUGGGAUAAAAGCUUACCAAGCCGACGAUCUGUAGCUGGUCUGAGAGGACGACCAGCCACACUGGGACUGAGACACGGCCCAGACUCCUACGGGAGGCAGCAGUGGGGAAUUUUGGACAAUGGGCGAAAGCCUGAUCCAGCAAUGCCGCGUGCAGGAUGAAGGCCUUCGGGUUGUAAACUGCUUUUGUACGGAACGAAAAAGCUUCUCCUAAUACGAGAGGCCCAUGACGGUACCGUAAGAAUAAGCACCGGCUAACUACGUGCCAGCAGCCGCGGUAAUACGUAGGGUGCGAGCGUUAAUCGGAAUUACUGGGCGUAAAGCGUGCGCAGGCGGUUAUGUAAGACAGAUGUGAAAUCCCCGGGCUCAACCUGGGAACUGCAUUUGUGACUGCAUGGCUAGAGUACGGUAGAGGGGGAUGGAAUUCCGCGUGUAGCAGUGAAAUGCGUAGAUAUGCGGAGGAACACCGAUGGCGAAGGCAAUCCCCUGGACCUGUACUGACGCU
Molecule: ribosomal RNA, 715 nt
Filed under: uncultured organism
Description: SSU rRNA
Rfam family: Bacterial small subunit ribosomal RNA
Source: RNAcentral